GACGAACGCUGGCGGCGUGCUUAACACAUGCAAGUCGAACGGAAAGGCCCCUUUGGGGGUACUCGAGUGGCGAACGGGUGAGUAACACGUGAGUAACCUGCCCUUGACUUCGGGAUAACUUCAGGAAACUGGGGCUAAUACCGGAUAGGAAUCCUUGCUGCAUGGUGGGGGUUGGAAAGCUUCGGCGGUUUUGGAUGGACUCGCGGCUUAUCAGCUUGUUGGUGGGGUAGUGGCUUACCAAGGCUUUGACGGGUAGCCGGCCUGAGAGGGCGACCGGCCACAUUGGGACUGAGAUACGGCCCAGACUCCUACGGGAGGCAGCAGUGGGGAAUAUUGCACAAUGGGCGGAAGCCUGAUGCAGCAACGCCGCGUGCGGGAUGACGGCCUUCGGGUUGUAAACCGCUUCCAGCAGGGGCGAAGCUUUUGUGACGGUACCUGCAGAAGAAGCACCGGCUAACUACGUG
This 464-nucleotide ribosomal RNA is filed under the name uncultured bacterium. Its description in RNAcentral is "partial 16S ribosomal RNA". It matches the Rfam family "Bacterial small subunit ribosomal RNA", at positions 28 to 507 of the family's 1533-position model. The record is from RNAcentral.